Molecule: long non-coding RNA, 431 nt
Organism: Pogoniulus pusillus (Red-fronted tinkerbird)
Lineage: Eukaryota; Metazoa; Chordata; Aves; Piciformes; Lybiidae
Exons: 2
Source: RefSeq, a predicted model, not a curated record
GGACUCAGGUGCUCUGGAUUUGGGGCAUAAAAGGGUGUGUGUGGGGAACUUCUGGAGCUAGUAGUCUAUGAAUGUGAUGAUUUUCCUACCAGACUUUGUUUCUCAUCUGAGCAUCUCUGUGAAGCAGGUGCUGGGGACUAUCAUGAAGAAGGCCCAUGUCUACAACAGGAGUGCCCAGUCCAAGCCACAGCAGCAGCCAACUUUUGUCCCAUUGUAGCAGCCCAGAUCCUGUCACCAGCCAGAGGAAAAUCACAGCAGAGCUUCCUGACCCUUGUGCCAUUUGGCUGGAGACUGCAUGUUUGACCUUCUCCAAACCAGAGACUGAGCAGAACAUGUUUCUCCUCUAGACCAAAGGUCCCACCCCUACCCGGACACUGCCUUUUAAAGGUCUCCAACCUAAUAAAAAACAGCUGUAUGCUCCUCUCUCCAAA